This is an unclassified non-coding RNA of Panthera pardus (leopard), 334 nucleotides long. Its record names the gene 7SK. It matches the Rfam family "7SK RNA". Rfam says of the family: 7SK was discovered as an abundant small nuclear RNA in the mid-70s but a possible function has only recently been suggested. NCBI's taxonomy places the organism in Eukaryota, Metazoa, Chordata, Mammalia, Carnivora, Felidae. The record is from Ensembl.
GGAUGUAAGAGCGAUCUGGCUGUGACUUCUGUCACCCCACUGAUCACCAGGGUUCAUGCUUCUGCUGAUCUGGGUAGCUGGGCCGGUGUCUCUGUCCUCCUUCACCACUUCGCAGGAGUCCCUCAUGAAGCUGUGUGUUUGUUAGGUCAAAGAGGACAACCAUCCCCGAAAGGGGAGGACUGUUCUUCAAUCAAGGGUAUACCAGUAGCUGUGCCCCAGUGCUAGAACCUCCAAACAAGCUCUCACAUAGGGUUAAAAAAAAUUAAAAUAUGUGUCUGAAAACUGAAGGUUUAGGUGUAAAGGUAAAAUGAAUCCAUACUGUGGAUCUCGCUCU